CUACAUAUAGGAAUACAUGAAGGAAACCUAAAAUAGACAACGAUGAGUUCCCUUAUUCCUUGGAAAACAGCGGAUCCCUCUCCCAAAAAUACAGAGAACGACAAAUCUCUAAAGAGACCUCAAGCUUCAGCCAUGAGAGGACCUUCCUAAUUCCCUUGAGCACCGGCGAUUUCCAUAUUCUCUUCUUCCUUAUUUUUCCUCGCUAGCAUUAGUCAAGAACCAGAAAAACAACUAUUUCCCUCACCAUUCGCAACCCUGUUCUUCACAACUUAAGAACACCCCUAGACAACAGAGAAACGACGGAUCUGGGUUCCCCACUUUUCCUCCAUUGCUGUUUUCUUCUCAAGCAAAAAAAAGAGCCAGUUUCUUCAGUUUCUUUUCUUUACUUCGCAGAUCAGAAAGCAAAAAAAAAAUAGGAAAAGAAUACAUUGCAUAAAGGUUAAAAAAUGAGGUGAAAUGUAAAUAAAGAGGUUGGAGUUCCGAUGCUUUGGGGUAAUUUGAAUUUUUCAGCGAGUUCCGAAUUCAUCGAAGGUUGUAUUCUGAGUCUUUCCGGGCCGAUUCACUGCUGUCUGUUUCAUUGCCGAGCUCCAUCUUUCCUUCGCCAUUUAUUUGACUGCUUUAGCUCAAAAUUUUGUCAUCUAGGUAUUUUCCCUUCCCAAAUCUGGUGUAAUUAUUUUAUAUGUAAGUUGUAUCAUAAACAUUGUAGCGUUUGUCUGCUUAUUUUCUCGUUCAACAUCGUUCUUUGUUUGAAGUCAAAUAAUCUGAUGUUUUAAAGUGGUACUUCCUAAAUUAAGUUAAAAUCAAUUAAUGUGUGUUUCUUAUCUUAUGUUUGGGCAAGCUUUAAUGUGUUAGCUUUGGUAAAUAUGAGAAUUUGGUAUGAAUUUGGGGAACAGAGUGUUCUCUCACUUUCUUCUAUACUGUAGUCAUUUUCAUUUGAGUAUUAUAAAUUUAACAGUGUUACUCGGAGUUGAG
RNAcentral lists this long non-coding RNA (972 nucleotides) under Nicotiana benthamiana. RNAcentral's name for it is "long non-coding RNA (NBEN_LNC039312)". The record is from RNAcentral. Lineage: Eukaryota; Viridiplantae; Streptophyta; Magnoliopsida; Solanales; Solanaceae.